UGCCCUGGCAUUGGGCAAGGAGAUACCUGGUUGGUGGUUUUGCUCUUAUAUCAAUCAGGGGCAAAGCAGAUGUAGUUAUUAGUUCAUCCUAGCUUGAUGCCUAUACUGGUGGCCAGAGCUAUUUCAUGCCUGAGGCACAUUA
This is a small nucleolar RNA of Molossus molossus (Pallas's mastiff bat), 142 nucleotides long. RefSeq annotates it as small nucleolar RNA SNORA48. Lineage: Eukaryota; Metazoa; Chordata; Mammalia; Chiroptera; Molossidae. The record is from RefSeq and is a predicted model, not a curated record. The transcript has a single exon.